GGGCGUGUAGCUCAGCUGGUUAGAGCGUUACAUUGACAUUGUAAAGGUCAGAGGUUCGAGUCCUCUCACGCCCACCA
This 77-nucleotide transfer RNA is filed under the name Candidatus Uhrbacteria bacterium. Its description in RNAcentral is "tRNA-Val". It matches the Rfam family "tRNA". Rfam says of the family: Transfer RNA (tRNA) molecules are approximately 80 nucleotides in length. Their secondary structure includes four short double-helical elements and three loops (D, anti-codon, and T loops). Further hydrogen bonds mediate the characteristic L-shaped molecular structure. tRNAs have two regions of fundamental functional importance: the anti-codon, which is responsible for specific mRNA codon recognition, and the 3' end, to which the tRNAs corresponding amino acid is attached (by aminoacyl-tRNA synthetases). tRNAs cope with the degeneracy of the genetic code in two manners: having more than one tRNA (with a specific anti-codon) for a particular amino acid; and 'wobble' base-pairing, i.e. permitting non-standard base-pairing at the 3rd anti-codon position. The record is from RNAcentral. Lineage: Bacteria; Candidatus Uhriibacteriota.